This 253-nucleotide ribosomal RNA is filed under the name uncultured bacterium. RNAcentral's name for it is "partial 16S ribosomal RNA". It matches the Rfam family "Bacterial small subunit ribosomal RNA", at positions 524 to 776 of the family's 1533-position model. The record is from RNAcentral.
UACGUAGGGACCGAGCGUUGUCCGGAAUCAUUGGGCGUAAAGAGCUCGUAGGCGGUUUGUCGCGUCUGCCGUGAAAGUCCGGGGCUCAACUCCGGAUCUGCGGUUGAUACGGGCGGGCUAGAGUUCGGUAGGGGAGACUGGAAUUCCUGGUGUAGCGGUGAAAUGCGCAGAUAUCAGGAGGAACACCGGUGGCGAAGGCGGGUCUCUGGGCCGAUACUGACGCUGAGGAGCGAAAGCGUGGGGAGCGAACAGG